Long non-coding RNA from Zeugodacus cucurbitae (melon fly), 3086 nucleotides. RefSeq lists it as uncharacterized. The record is from RefSeq and is a predicted model, not a curated record. Lineage: Eukaryota; Metazoa; Arthropoda; Insecta; Diptera; Tephritidae. The transcript has 3 exons.
UCAAAAACGAGACGAAAUGUCAUACUCUCAUAUCACGAACUAACAUAUUUUUCUGUCACAGAAAAUGUCAAAAUCCUUAUUUUCAUCAUUUUUACUAGAAAUGUGGUGGAUGACUUUGUUAAUUUUUAGAUUGACGCUGGAUAAUACCGGAAGUGCAGUUAGAAUGGGAAAGACCUAACCGAGCCAUUCGGUACAAAAUAGUAAGAGUCGCAGAGUUAAAUAAUUUUGUCUACCUCGAAACCAGCAUCAACAACACCAACAAUCGUAGCCUCAAAAUCCAACGCAGAAUAACUCUCGAAUGAAAAGUAAAGUCCCCUCUUGAGGAACAAUGACAAAACUCUACACGACCCUCCUCAUUUCCGUCUUGUUUAUGGUGCAGAAGCAUGGAUAAUGUUAACAUCUGAUGAGACGACACCAGGAGUUUUCGAGGGAAAGGUUUGCAGAAGUUUGAUGGUCCCUUAACGCUUUGUUGUUCAACGGUACUUUCAAGUAUCAUUUCUUUUUUUGGCGUUUUAAACGGAACGGUCGAAUUUUUGAUAACAUGCUGACCAACGGUACUGCCAAGUACAAAAUAAAAAGCAUCAGAAACGACACUGUUUGUCAAAUAUUCUAUAUUUUUGCCUUAGAGGGUCAUUGCAAUUUGAUUUUUUCUAUCGCGAAGAUAGCUUACAAAAACGAUUUCUUUCUGGACUUGGUCAAAAGGGGUUAAAUAUUGGCAACAGCGAAUACCGCAGGCAAUCGAAUGGACGAAACCACGUCAGCUUUGAAAAUGAUCGAUGGUAUAAGCCAAGGAAGAGGAAGACCUCCACUGAGUUGAAAAGACCAGAUGGUAUAUCGUAGUUAUUGGGGCUCCCAACAAUUUACAACUUACCGAUCAAAACAGGGUUAGAUCGCCGAAAAGAAAGCCCUUCAGCUUCUGGCCAAUCCCGGUACCCUAGAAUCGCCUAUCGUAUCCAUAGUUGAUAAUGGGCUUAAAACGGACUAUGUUUCAUUAAAUUCGGUGGGGAAACUCGAAAGACAAGUGUUGAAGAUAAAUUUGACCGAGGUAAUUGAUGCAUUAAAUUAAUUGAGGAUCCAAUUAAGCAGUGUUCCCUGUAUGUAAUAUUUACAAACAUAAAGUAUAAGCAUCAAUACCCGCAACGAAUGUUGCACCAAACGUAAGACAAAAAGUGAAAAUAAUUCUUGGAAACAACUUCAGUGCUUUUGAUACCUCAGUUGCGGCAUGAAAACACCGACGCGGGGGCAACAGCUUUGUCAGCGGAUAAUGAUUAGAAAAGCGGUUGACAUCUGAUUUGUAUGGAACAAAAUAUUAUAACGACCGCCGAUGCGAGUCGCGAUAACGGCGCAGUCGCAGAUGUGGCAAGCGCUGUACAUAAUACACGAAACUAUUGUCGCGCUGUGCGUUCAAGUGUCUUAUGCAGAUACGCAUUUGAUAUGACAGCUCAGAUAAGUACAGAAAACACACACGACACCAAAAAAAAAGUAAAAUAAAUCAAGAGAUAAAUGAGAAAAAAUGAAAACAUUUCAGUUGUCAAAGUCAAAAGCCACGAAUAGCCGCUGCAAUUGUUUGGAGCAACGCGGCUGGCCGCGCUUAUGCACACACUUACGAGUCUACAUACUCGGACUUGACGCUUUCAACUUGUCGCUCGUGCGCUCGUUGCCAAGCACUCGUCGGUUGCAUUGUCAUUACAAUUUCAAUGGCAGUGAAAUACAACAACAACAGCGUUCUUUUUACCACCUUUUUUGCGCCUUGUCGCAAAGCAGUUCGCCGUGUUUUUUGCUCAUGUCGUUGCGCUUGCGCGUUGACCUGUCAAUUUGUAGCUAUUGAAAUGUCAGCACUUUGCAUUAACUGCAACUUUUAUUUUGUAUCUGCAUAAUCGCCGUGCUGAUUGUUGUUGGCGGCGAGCGCGCAUGCGCAUUGCUGGACACACAUAAUUGAGUGCAAUGCGCAUUGCGCGGCGCACCAGUUUCAGCGCUGCGCCGCCUUCCUCAACUGCUCUGCACUGUAGCGCGCUGCGCAUGCGCAGCUCCAUCUACAUUUGAGUACGUGUACGAGGGCUGUUUAUGUUUGGCAUGGAAUUUGCUGCUGUCAAUAUUGAUUGUUGCUUGUUUGUGUUUCACAUCGCCUCGGUGCCAUAAUACCAAUUUUGGUUGUUGCAGUGUCACCUCGACGCGCCAUAUUUGAAAAGGUACACAUGUUGCCAAUUCGUUGGAAUAAUGUGCAUCGGAGUGUGUGUGUUAGUUGUAAGUGCGCAAUUAUGCAAAAUAAAUUCACACGAGUAAACGUGAACCCUGAGCCGCCUUUUUUGGACGAUGCUGUGAAAUCUUAGAUAGCAUUCGUGCGGGAUUGUUUAUAUGUAUACUUGUAAGUGCACAGGUUCAUACUUUUUUCACAGCUUUCAAAAACUAAGUGUGUUUAACUAAUAUUAUUUGCAUUUAUUAAAACUUGCGAAUACCGAGACAAAGCCGUUCUAAACUAGUGCUUGCUGGCUAUAGCAGGUACAGACAAAGUUUUUUUCAGUUUAGUUUUUAUAAAACCACUUUAAAUAAAACCACUAAAAAUUCGACAGAUCGGCCUAAAAAGUCCAUCGACUUCUGCUUCGUCAAAGAAGUUAUUAUUAUGAAAGCAAAAAACUACUCAGUUCCAUAAUUUAUUCAACCCCUUAAGCUCACAGCCACUCAAACUGAGAACUAAAGUUACAAUGCCUUUAAAAUUUAAAUCACAUUAAAAUUGAAAUCAAAAGAAUUUUAAGAGAUUACAACUCAACUUUAAGUCUAAUAAACACCAAAUUAUACUGUUUCCUCUUAUAAAGUUCCCAUGAGAGAAAUACAAUUUUUUAUACAUAUAAUCACUGUAUAGUUGUUAUUAACAUUUACAACCGAUUCAGUUUAUUUACAAAUUGAAACACACCUGUCAUCGUUUUGGUCUUAUAAAUUGCAACUAAUUUCAGUUGAAGUUGUAUUAAUAUUACAACCUAAAAAGUGAUGAUUUGACUAAGAAUUAACUGCGUUUGAUUUUUUAAUAAAAAGUAUAGUUUAGUUAAAGCAUCAACAACACCAACAAUGUCAUCAUCGAAAUCCAGCGC